GUAGUCCUAGCGGUAAACGAUGGGUACUAGGUGUCGGGGGUAUCGACCCCCUCGGUGCCGAAGUUAACGCAUUAAGUACCCCGCCUGGGGAGUACGACCGCAAGGUUGAAACUCAAAGAAAUUGACGGGGGCCCGCACAAGCGGUGGAGUAUGUGGUUUAAUUCGAGGCAACGCGAAGAACCUUACCUGGGCUUGACAUGUUUGAGACCGCUGGUGAAAGCCAGCUUUCCCUUCGGGGACUCUUGCACAGGUGCUGCAUGGCUGUCGUCAGCUCGUGCCGUGAGGUGUUGGGUUAAGUCCCGCAACGAGCGCAACCCUUGUCCAUAGUUGCCAUCAGGUAACGCUGGGGACUCUAUGGAGACUGCCGGUGAUAAGCUGGA
Molecule: ribosomal RNA, 380 nt
Filed under: uncultured bacterium
Lineage: Bacteria
Description: bacterial SSU rRNA
Rfam family: Bacterial small subunit ribosomal RNA
Source: RNAcentral